This 379-nucleotide unclassified non-coding RNA is filed under the name uncultured Gammaproteobacteria bacterium. RNAcentral describes it as "contains 16S-23S intergenic spacer region". Lineage: Bacteria; Pseudomonadati; Pseudomonadota; Gammaproteobacteria. The record is from RNAcentral.
UCCGGUUUGUCACCGGCAGUCUCCUUAAAGUUCCCACCAUUACGUGCUGGCAAAUAAGGACAAGGGUUGCGCUCGUUACGGGACUUAACCCAACAUCUCACGACACGAGCUGACGACAGCCAUGCAGCACCUGUCUCAGCGUUCCCGAAGGCACCCCCGCAUCUCUGCAGGGUUCGCUGGAUGUCAAGACCUGGUAAGGUUCUUCGCGUUGCGUCGAAUUAAACCACAUGCUCCACCGCUUGUGCGGGCCCCCGUCAAUUCAUUUGAGUUUUAAUCUUGCGACCGUACUCCCCAGGCGGUCAACUUAGCGCGUUAGCUGCGUCACUAAGGGGUCUAAGCCCCCCAACGACUAGUUGACAUCGUUUACAGCGUGGACUAC